UGGGGAAUUUUCCGCAAUGGGCGAAAGCCUGACGGAGCAAUACCGCGUGAGGGAAGAAUGCCUAUGGGUUGUAAACCUCUUUUUUCAGGGAGGAAUAAAAUGACGUGUACCUGAAGAAUAAGCAUCGGCUAACUCCGUGCCAGCAGCCGCGGUAAGACGGAGGAUGCAAGUGUUAUCCGGAAUCACUGGGCGUAAAGCGUCUGUAGGUGGUUUAAUAAGUCAACUGUUAAAUCUUGAGGCUCAACUUCAAAAUCGCAGUCGAAACUAUUAGACUAGAGUAUAGUAGGGGUAAAGGGAAUUUCCAGUGGAGCGGUGAAAUGCGUAGAUAUUGGAAAGAACACCGAUGGCGAAAGCACUUUACUGGGCUAUUACUAACACUCAGAGACGAAAGCUAGGGUAGCAAAUGGGAUUAGAUACCCCAGUAGUCCUAGCCGUAAACUAUGGAUACUAGAUGUUGAACAGAUCGACCUGUGCAGUAUCAAAGCUAACGCGUUAAGUAUCCCGCCUGGGAAGUAUGCUCGCAAGAGUG
This 529-nucleotide ribosomal RNA is filed under the name uncultured bacterium. Its description in RNAcentral is "bacterial SSU rRNA". It matches the Rfam family "Bacterial small subunit ribosomal RNA", at positions 355 to 896 of the family's 1533-position model. The record is from RNAcentral.